RNAcentral lists this long non-coding RNA (5512 nucleotides) under Panax ginseng (ginseng). Its description in RNAcentral is "long non-coding RNA (PGIN_LNC016345)". The record is from RNAcentral. Lineage: Eukaryota; Viridiplantae; Streptophyta; Magnoliopsida; Apiales; Araliaceae.
UUGCAGCUCUGGCCAAAUUUGUGGAAACCAACUUCAAAAAACUUGAUAUUCUGGUAAGAAAACUUAAUAAUACUCCUUGCGUUCCUAAAUUAGUGCUCUGAGGAAAUUCUUAUCCAGGUCAAUAAUGCUCUGAGGAAAUUCUUAUCCAGGUCAAUAAUGCAGGAGAUAUUGGAUUGAUUGUAUAUAAAGCACUUAAGGACUAUAAAGAUGGAGCAGGGUUUGUAAGUAUUUACAGCUUCCAACUUGUAGCUUUUUUAUCAAAACAUAUUUGCCCUCUGUAUUUAAGGAGAUAUAGCAUUAACUUUUCCUAGAUACACUAGUAAUCCAGGAUGUAUUUGAAGUGAACUCCCAAUACGUUUGUCCUUGAGAAAAAAAUCAUCCUAUGUUAAACAGAUGAUCGGCAUAAGAUUACUGUGGUAGCUAGAUAUAGAAUCUCACCGGACAAACACAAGUGUAACCUCUAUUUUUUGUUUACCAGCUAAAGGUGACUGAUGAAGAUGCCCAUUUGUUGAAAGGAAUUUUGGAGCAGAGCUAUGAAAUGGCUGAACCUUGUAUCAGAACAAAUUAUUAUGGAACAAAAGCCGUGACUGAAGAACUACUUCCACUCCUCCAACUUUCCAAUUCAGCAAGAAUAGUGAAUGUCUCAUCCUUAUUUGGAGAGCUAAAGGUAACUCAAUUAAUAAAACUCUGUGCUCAAUCCGAAUAAACACAAAGCUAAAUUCUUCCUUUUACAAUUUCAGUGGAUCCACAAUGAAAAGGUCAAAGCUGAGCUGCAAAAUGUAGAAAGCUUAACAGAAGAGAGAAUCGACGAGAUUUUGCAGUGGUUUCUGAGGGAUUUUAAGGAGGAUAAGUUGAAGGUUAACGGUUGGCCUACGACGGUAUCUGCAUAUAAAAUGUCGAAAGUUACAAUCAAUGCCUAUACAAGAUUGCUAGCCAAACAAUUCCCCAGUAUGCUAGUCAAUUGUGUUCAUCCUGGAUAUGUACAAACAGACAUUACGUGUAACACAGGACCCUUGACCCCUGAGGAAGGUGCUAGAGCUCCGGUAAUGGUGGCUUUGUUGCCUGAUGGUGCUCCUUCUGGCCUCUACUUUUAUGAGAUGCAAGCAUCCAGUUUUUAAUACAUGUAUAAAUAUAUGCAUAAAUAACAAGGGAAACACCACAUAUAAGAAGGUAUCCAACUUACAUUGAUGUACUUUUAAGAAAUGUGUUGCUUUCUCAUCUUGUAAGAACUUGUAACAUUUGAAAGUUCCAUUGUAUUGAAUAAAUUAUAUGGAUUCCCUUGCAACUUGUCAGGAAAAAUCGUAAAAGAUCCAACUCAUUGACAGCUGCAAUUAAGGGUACAUUUCUAUGUUCACAUGUUGGUGUUAGAUAAUAACAACACAACAAAAAAAAUAAUAGCAAAGAGAAAUUAAAAUAAAAAUAAUCACAUUGACACAAAAUUUAUGUGGUUAACCCAAACAUUACAGUCGGUGUAGAAUAAGCAAUAGGGUAUACUGAGUUAUAACCAUAUGUGGGUAUUGCGUAUAGGUCGACCCUAAUUUUCUAUUAUGUUUUUUGCAUUGGUAGUGUUUAUGCAAGACACACCUUCCGAUUUAUACAUGCAUUUAGAUUCGCUGUCCGAUGUGUGAUUUGCAUGUGUGACAUUAUUUUGACUUGUCUGUGUGACAAGGUUCUAUUUUGUUUUGAGCUCGGUAUGAAAUAACCAUUUAGCCACAUUGAUUCAAUAUUUUGUUUGUUUUGUUAAUUAUGUUGAUUCAGAUAUAUUCAAAUUUUGAAUAUUAUAUUAUUGGCGUUAUUUAUGUUUGAGACUUUGCUCAAUAUUUUGUCAGUUGAUUUCGUUUUUAAGUUGCGCAUCUUUUGUAUAUCUUUAUUUGUAUUGGACAAUUUGUUCAUGCUGUAUUAUUUUUUCGACAUGUUUGCAGAGGAGAUUUAGGGUUUUGUGUGAAGAGAACUACAUGUGACCAUCUAGGUUUAUUUAAUUUUAGAUUUUGAUUAUUCUGCCAAUUUUUAAAGAAUUGUAUUUAGCAAAAAUCACUUUUACCCCAAUGUGGUUGUAGUGUUUUAAGCAAUUGCCACUGUAUUUUUAAAAUAUUCAAUUAGCUCACUGUACUUUUUAAAAAUAUUCAAUCAACCCAUUUCGUCCAAUUUGAGUAACCGACGUUAACAAAUCAGCUUGGAUUGCUUAUGUGGCUUUUUAAAAAAAAUAAAUAAUUAAAAUAAAUAUUUUAAUUCAUUUUUAAUAACUUUUUCAUUUCCUAUUUUCUUUCUCCUUCAAAAUGAAUAAAUAAGCCUAAAUAAAAUAAUAAAUAAAAAUAUAAUUUUGCUAAGUAUAAGACCAAUUUUUUUAAAAAAAAAAUUUAGACAAAAAAGAAAUAAUGCAAAUUACACACAUAAAUAAAACAUUAGUUAUCCUCAUUUUUUCCUAAUUAAUUCAAACUCAAACCCCCCUACUUACUGUUCAUCUUCUUCCUCACCAAACUGGAAUUCGUUGACCCACCACCACCAAUCGCCUACCCAAAGCCAUAGAAUCCGGUCAGAACAAUCCAGAAUUAAACUGGUGAUUGACGAACCCAUAGCAUCAGAAAUCCAAUACCCAACACCAGAUCAAAAUAAAAAACAGCCGAUUAACCAAACAAUUUCAUAUUAAAUCCACAACAAAUUUGAGGGAGGGGAAGGAGGAGAUGUCAUUUUUUCCUCUCCUUUCUCUACCACUGGUGAAAUAAGAAUUUUGUAGAAGAGGCAAGAAUGAGCAAUUUCAGAUUUGUGUGUCGUAUGAUCGAGCAAUAUAUCUCUAUAAUUCAUCCAGAUUAGAGAUUUAGAUAGAUACUUAACAAGAAAUUUGGGAUUCAACGAGAGAGGUAGAGGGGCUACGGAGAGAGCACUCAUCUAUGGUCUGUGAUGGUGAAGAUAAGGAUACAUCGCUGAUGAGACAAGAGAGGGUUAAAUAAGAUGAAUAAAAUUAAUUUUAUUAUUAUUUUAAUAAAUAUUAUAAUAUUAAUUUUUAUUAAUAUUAUACAUAUUAUAAAUAUUUAGGUAAAGAAAAAGAAAGAAAAUAAAACAUAAAAAUAUUUUUAUUUUUAAAAUAAAACAUACAUAUUAUAAAUAUUAUAAUAUUAAUAUUUAUUAAUAUUAUACAUAUUAUAAAUAUUUAGGUAAAGAAAAAGAAAGAAAAUAAAACAUAAAAAUAUUUUUAAAAUCACAGUGGGCAAAUUGCAUUGUUUUAAAGUACAGUGGCUCAAUAGUAUUAAGAAUUUGGUUGACUGGCUUGCCACGUAGGAAAUAACUUAUUUUAUUUUAUUUUUUCAAAAGCCACGUAGGAAAAUUGGCACAAUUUUUUAACGUCCGUCCAAUUUCUUGGACGGAAUGGGUUGAUUGAACAUUUUUAAAAAGUACAGUGGGCUAAUUGAAUAUUUUAACAGCUAAAUGGCUAAUUGCUUAAAACACUAUAACCACAGUGGGGUAAAAGUGUUUUUUGUCAAUUGUAUUUAAUUCGACAUUUGAUGGAUUAUCAAUUAUUUAAUAUUUUGAAGUUAUUGAUGUUUUGUUUACUUAUUUUGAAGUCUAUUGUGUUUUGUACGUGACCACCCUUUCUUAUUCGGAAAAGGAGUGUUACAUAAGCAGUUAAUGCUUCUUCAAAAUUUACAAAUCACAAAUAAAAACGAACAAAAAUCUCUCUACAAAUAAAAAUAAUAGAGGGAGUAUAAACUAUUGAGUCUAAUCGACUCCGCUAUUAAAUACAAAAUUAUUACAUUAAUGUGAAGCAAUCCAAACUUUAUGUAAGUGAAUAUAUUGAACCAAAAGAUAGGUAAGUGAACAGAGUAAAGUAGGAUAAGAAAAUGUACCUUGAAAACUCCAAAAUCAAUAACAGAACAGUAUGCAUAUUUGUGGCUUCUACAUGUCAGGCGGGGGCCCACAAUAUGCAUGUGUGUAUGUAAGCAUUAUGUGAGCCUUUUUUAUGUGAUAGUAACAUUGUUCUAUCCAAAAUGUUCACUUACCCCUAUAAAUUCAAAAGAAGUUGUUGCAUCAUAUUGCAAACUUUAAAGAGCUUUAAGGUAUUAUUAUUGAAGCAAUGCCAGAAAUCAUUACUUUGGGUGAGAAAAGGUAAUUUUAUAUUGAGUUUCAAUUUAAGCAAUAUAUAAAAUGGAAAAAAGGGUAAAUUUUUGCAUAUGAAAAUCUCAUUACUUGUGAUUUAAACUUGGCUUCAGGUGUGCUCUUGUGACCGGGGGGAACAAAGGGAUUGGCCUUGAGAUAUGCCGCAAGUUAGCCUCUAAUGGGAUUAGUGUCAUUUUAACCGCUAGAAAUGAGAAAAAUGGUUCAGAAGCUGUUGAGAUGCUUAAAGAUUCUGGCCUCUCAGAUGUGGUCUUCCAUCAACUAGAUGUAACAGAUCCUGCUAGUAUUGCAGCUCUGGCCAAAUUUGUGGAAACCAACUUCAAAAAACUUGACAUUCUGGUAAGAAAACUUAAUAAUAUUCCUUUAAGCGUUCCUAAAUUAGAGUUACAUUUUCCUUUUUCCGUACAUUAUAAAAAAAACUAAUCCAUGUAUCUUGUUAAAGGAGGGGAAGGAAUGAAAAAUAUUGCAUGCAUUUUAUAUACCGCCAUGGUGCAACUGAAACCAAUUUAUAUGCUAAAAAUAAUGCUAUGAGGAAAAUCUUAUGCAGGUCAAUAAUGCAGGAGAUAGUGGAUUGAUUGUAACUAAAGCAAUUAAGGACUAUAAAGAUGGAGCAGGGUUUGUAACUAUUUACAGCUUCCAACUUGUAGCUUUUUUAUCAAAACAUAUUUGCCCUCUGUAUUUAAGGAGAUAUAGCAUUAACUUUUACUAGAUACACUAGUAAUCCGGGAUGUAUUUGAAGUGAACUCCCAUACAUUUGUCCUUGAGAAAAAAAUCAUCCUAUGUUAAACAGAUGAUCGGCAUAAGAUUACUGUGGUAGAUAUAGAAUCUCACUGGACAAACACAAGUGUAACCUCUAUUUUUGUGUCUACCAGCUGAAGGUGACUGAUGAAGAUGCCCAUUUGUUGAAAGGAAUUGUGGAGCAGAGCUAUGAAAUGGCUGAACCUUGUAUCAGAACAAAUUAUUAUGGAACAAAAGCCGUGACUGAAGAACUACUUCCACUCCUCCAACUUUCCAAUUCAGCAAGAAUAGUGAAUGUCUCAUCCAAAUUUGGAGAGCAAAAGGUAACUCAAUUAAUAAGAAUCCGUGCUCAAUCCGAAUAAACACAAAGCUAAAUUCUUCCUUUUACAAUUUCAGUGGAUCCACAAUGAAAACGUCAAAGCCGAGCUGCAAAAUGUAGAAAGCUUAACAGAAGAGAGAAUCGACGAGAUUUUGCAGUUGUUUCUGAGGGAUUUUAAGGAGGAUAAGUUGAAGGUUACCGGUUGGCCUACGACGCUAUCUGCAUAUAAAUUGUCGAAAGCUACGAUCAAUGCCUAUACAAGAUUGCUAGCCAAAAAAUUCCCCAGUAUGCUAGUCAAUUGUGUUCAUCCUGGACAAGUACAAACAGACAUUUCAUGUAACACAG